AUUGAACGCUGGCGGCAGGCCUAACACAUGCAAGUCGAGCGAGCGGCGGACGGGUGAGUAAUGUCUGGGGAUCUGCCCGAUAGAGGGGGAUAACUACUGGAAACUGUGGCUAAUACCGCAUACUAUCCGAUGUCCCCAUAUGGGAUUAGCUAGUUGGUGGGGUAAAGGCUCACCUAUGCGCCGAUCUCUAGCUGGUCUGAGAGGAUGACAAGACAAACUGGGACUGAGACACGGCCCAGACGCCUACGGGAGGCAGCAGUGGGGAAUAUUGCGCAAUGGGCGCAACCCGGACGCAGCCAGGCCGCGUGAAUGAAGAAGGCCUUCGGGUUGUAAAGUACUUUCGGUAGCGAGGCGUUAACGACAGAAGAAGCACCGGCUAACUCCGUGCCAGCAGCCGCGGUAAUUC
This 406-nucleotide ribosomal RNA is filed under the name uncultured bacterium. RNAcentral's name for it is "partial 16S ribosomal RNA". It matches the Rfam family "Bacterial small subunit ribosomal RNA", at positions 30 to 526 of the family's 1533-position model. The record is from RNAcentral.